CCUACGGGUGGCAGCAGUGAGGAAUAUUGGUCAAUGGACGAGAGUCUGAACCAGCCAAGUAGCGUGAAGGAUGACUGCCCUAUGGGUUGUAAACUUCUUUUAUAUGGGAAUAAAACGUUCCACGUGUGGGAUUUUGUAUGUACAAUAUGAAUAAGGAUCGGCUAACUCCGUGCCAGCAGCCGCGGUAAUACGGAGGAUCCGAGCGUUAUCCGGAUUUACUGGGUGUAAAGGGAGCGUAGGUGGAUUGUUAAGUCAGUUGUGAAAGUUUGCGGCUCAACCGUAAUAUUGCAGUUGAAACUGGAAGUCUUGAGUACAGUAGAGGUGAGUGGAAUUCGUGGUGUAGCGGUGAAAUGCUUAGAUAUCACGAAGAACUCCGAUUGCGAAGGCAGUUCACUGGACUGCAACUGACACUGAGGCUCGAAAGUGUGGGUAUCAAACAGGAUUAGAUACCCUGGUAGUC
RNAcentral lists this ribosomal RNA (460 nucleotides) under uncultured bacterium. RNAcentral's name for it is "partial 16S ribosomal RNA". It matches the Rfam family "Bacterial small subunit ribosomal RNA", at positions 338 to 795 of the family's 1533-position model. The record is from RNAcentral.